Long non-coding RNA from Lycium ferocissimum, 2245 nucleotides. RefSeq lists it as uncharacterized. The transcript has 2 exons. Lineage: Eukaryota; Viridiplantae; Streptophyta; Magnoliopsida; Solanales; Solanaceae. The record is from RefSeq and is a predicted model, not a curated record.
GUGUGGUUUCAUCAAAAGAGACAGAUAGAGGAAGAACCCAAAUUCCCAAGCAGCAAUAUAGAACUAGUAACAAUCGAAAACUUCGGAAUUAAGCUAUCAACUUUAGAUAUUAUUACAAAGACGAAAAUACUACCUAAUCCAUCCAAUUAACAAAGAUAAACUUACAUAUUAAUACAGCGACAGUGACCAAAUCCAAUUGAAAAAAGUAAGAAAAGUAAAGCCAAAAGAGAGGGCCGCAACUCCAGACUUUGGGUAAAUAUCAGAGACUGUGGAAUCCCAAAGUUGCCAAUGGUGUAGUCUUCCUCUUCAACUUCACUUCUUCCCAGAGUUCCCAUGAUGAAAACGACCCACUAUUGGGACCCUACAAAGCUGGCCAUCCUUUCUGGGGCUUUCCAGAGAGUGCUGCACUUUAGCUUAAUUUGAAUAAUGAAAUUGGAAGUAGCGAACUUGAAGAGGAAGAAAUUAAUUUGAAUAGAAAUAUACAUCUACCUGAGCUUUGAAUCUAGUUUCGGACGAAAGGAUGGAGGACAUUCUUGUAUUGAGGAUGAUCCCAUUCCAAUGAUUCCCAUUCUUCUUUAAGCAUGUCAAUAACUGUAAGGGCUGGAGGAGCUGAUGGCUGCCCAUUUCGAAGAGGAAGAGUAAAUGGAAGUCUCUUCAGCUUCUGACAAUAAUGAAUUUUUAUAUGCUUAACAGAACCACAAGUCAGUCUUCCCUUAUAUAUGCUCUUGAGUUUUGAUAACCCAAAUAAAUUAACAACUUCCAACUCUGGCAGAACAACCUCAUCAUCCUUGAUGCUUCUGCUUUGAUUUGAUCGAAGAAUAGAUGACGAUGAUGAGGCUGAGGUUACGCACUACUUGUCUUGUUCUUCUUCAUCCUCACUUAUUAUCUCUUCCAUCUCCUUGCAGUAUUUUAAAGUUAUUUCAUUCAUGUCUACGAGGUAUUGCCGCAACGACCUAGGGAUUAGCUUCUUCUUUUUACCACAUAAUGCAACUUCAAGGAAGCGAAGAUGUGAAAAGGUUCCAAGUGGAGGCAAAGCUUCUCCUAACUCCAACUUAACAAGACCAGUGAAUUCAUCUAAGGAAGACAAGCGCAAUGUCUCAAGACUGAGGAAGGGGUUGCAAGUAGACGUGAGUCCAUGAUCUCCCAUUAUACUGCAGUUACAUGCACAAGAUGAGCAUCACUGACUGAAAAUUAAUGACAUGGACUGGUUACUUGGAAAUUAAAGUUCAUAUAGAAGAGCUUAAAUUAGUAUAAGCAAGUAUAAGAUGUGCUUGAGAAAAGGACAGUAUAAAAUUUGGUUUCAUUUUUAAGACCAGCUUAUAAAUUUAGACGAUUGGUAUAGAAAACUUCCAUGAGUUGUUGUUUGUUGUGGAAACUAAGUAUAUAGAUCAUAGUAAAUUCUGGUCGAUGUUAGUUAUACUACUUGGGUUGAUCAUCUUCUCUGUGAGUCUCUUACUGCAACACUUUGAACAACUCCCAUGCUUUCUUUGUGUUAGUUUUUGAAUAAUAGGAGAUAGAGGAAGGUAUCAUCUGUCUGUCUUGGUCUCCACUCCCCUUCCCAAUUAUGUUUGGUGAAUAUUGACAAAUUAUGUAAGGACUUCUUCUUAAGGCAGGACAAGGGAGGAAGCAUAGGCCAAAAAGGUUGUCAUCGUACCUUUAGAAUAUAGAACCAUCAUCCAGCCAUUCGGCUUUGUUAUGAUUCUUUUUCGGUUAAACAAUCGUGAAGCUCCUAUACAUUAGGUUGUCAUACGAACAUAGUAACUAACAGGUCUAAUUGGAUGUUAUUACUAAACAUUUAUCUCUGCUUAGUCAUUUAGAUUUGGCAAUAAAGUUCGCAGGGUAAAAGCAAGGAGGAGUUUGUCUAUAAAAUAGAAACUCAAGGUAAAUCGAUACUAUGUUCUCAUAUUUUGUCAAAUACAAUCGCAAAAGAAGAUUUAUGACAGUAGAAGUUUACGGAUUACUAGGCUUUCAAAAGGGAUGCAUGAAGCAAGUGGUACUAUGUGCAAAUGCUCGAACUUCACAUGGUGGAUAUUUCAUAACCUUUUGGAUAUCUUGGACAACUUUAUUCCUCAAGGCAUGUAUAUAAAUGAAGGUUCAAUAGUUGUGAUUAUUUGUAUCGAUUUACUACAUUUUUUUUUUUUUUUAAAGUAAUCCUCCUGAAUCCUUGAAACAUAGUAAGAAAACAUCUUCUUGGUGUCGAACAUCUUUUAUAAUCUUAUAGCUGUAUAAAUAACAGAAACAAUUA